RNAcentral lists this ribosomal RNA (468 nucleotides) under uncultured bacterium. Its description in RNAcentral is "partial 16S ribosomal RNA". It matches the Rfam family "Bacterial small subunit ribosomal RNA", at positions 28 to 507 of the family's 1533-position model. The record is from RNAcentral.
GACGAACGCUGGCGGCGUGCUUAACACAUGCAAGUCGAACGGAAAGGCCCUGCUUUUGUGGGGUGCUCGAGUGGCGACCGGGUGAGUAACACGUGAGUAACCUGCCCUUGACUUUGGGAUAACUUCAGGAAACUGGGGCUAAUACCGGCUAGGAGCUCCUGCUGCAUGGUGGGGGUUGGAAAGUUUCGGCGGUUGGGGAUGGACUCGCGGCUUAUCAGCUUGUUGGUGGGGUAGUGGCUUACCAAGGCUUUGACGGGUAGCCGGCCUGAGAGGGUGACCGGCCAAAUUGGGACUGAGAUACGGCCCAGACUCCUACGGGAGGCAGCAGUGGGGAAUAUUGCACAAUGGGCGGAAGCCUGAUGCAGCAACGCCGCGUGCGGGAUGACGGCCUUCGGGUUGUAAACCGCUUUCGCCUGUGACGAAGCGUGAGUGACGGUAAUGGGUAAAGAAGCACCGGCUAACUACGUG